CAUAGAUACCCGUGUAGUCCUGGCCGUAAACGAUGUGGACUUGGUGUUGGAAUGGCUCCGAGCUGCUCCAGUGCCGAAGGGAAGCUGUUAAGUCCACCGCCUGGGAAGUACGGUCGCAAGGCUGAAACUUAAAGGAAUUGCGGGGGAGCACCACAACGGGUGGAGCCUGCGGUUUAAUUGGACUCAACGCCGGGAAGCUCACCGGAUAAGACAGCGGAAUGAUUGCCGGGCUGAAGACCCUGCAUGACCAGCUG
RNAcentral lists this ribosomal RNA (254 nucleotides) under uncultured archaeon. RNAcentral's name for it is "partial 16S ribosomal RNA". It matches the Rfam family "Archaeal small subunit ribosomal RNA", at positions 728 to 982 of the family's 1478-position model. The record is from RNAcentral.